RNAcentral lists this ribosomal RNA (272 nucleotides) under uncultured prokaryote. RNAcentral describes it as "partial 16S ribosomal RNA". It matches the Rfam family "Bacterial small subunit ribosomal RNA", at positions 524 to 796 of the family's 1533-position model. The record is from RNAcentral.
UACGGAGGGUGCAAGCGUUAUCCGGAUUCACUGGGUUUAAAGGGAGCGUAGGUGGGCAGGUAAGUCAGUGGUGAAAUCUCUGGGCUCAACCCGGAAACUGCCAUUGAUACUAUUUGUCUUGAAUAUUCUGGAGGUAAGCGGAAUAUGUCAUGUAGCGGUGAAAUGCUUAGAUAUGACAUAGAACACCAAUUGCGUAGGCAGCUUACUACGGAACUAUUGACACUGAGGCUCGAAAGCGUGGGGAUCAAACAGGAUUAGAAACCGAGUAGUCC